AAAGGUAAGCUACUAAGAGCGAAUGGUGGAUGCCUUGACUGGUAAAGGCGAUGAAGGACGUACUAGACUGCGAUAAGCUACGGGGAGCUGUCAAGAAGCUUUGAUCCGUAGAUUUCCGAAUGGGGCAACCCAAUGUAUAGAGAUAUACAUUACCUAUAUAGGAGCGAACGAGGGGAAUUGAAACAUCUUAGUACCCUCAGGAAAAGAAAUCAAUAGAGAUUGCGUCAGUAGCGGCGAGCGAAAGCGCAAGAGGGCAAACCCAGUGCUUGCACUGGGGGUUGUAGGACUGCAAUGUGCAAGAGCUGAGUUUAGCAGAACAUUCUGGAAAGUAUAGCCAUAGAGGGUGAUAGUCCCGUAUGCGAAAAACAAAGCUUAGCUAGCAGUAUCCUGAGUAGGGCGGGACACGAGGAAUCCUGUCUGAAUCCGGGUCGAC
RNAcentral lists this ribosomal RNA (433 nucleotides) under Campylobacter jejuni. Its description in RNAcentral is "partial 23S ribosomal RNA". It matches the Rfam family "Bacterial large subunit ribosomal RNA", at positions 1 to 453 of the family's 2925-position model. The record is from RNAcentral. Lineage: Bacteria; Pseudomonadati; Campylobacterota; Epsilonproteobacteria; Campylobacterales; Campylobacteraceae.